Non-coding RNA from Theobroma umbraticum, 1505 nucleotides. Lineage: Eukaryota; Viridiplantae; Streptophyta; Magnoliopsida; Malvales; Malvaceae. The record is from RefSeq and is a predicted model, not a curated record.
CUAAACGCUGAACGGACCAGACACGGCCGAAGACAAGAAGAUGAGUGUAUUGGUAACGGAAGCUUCGGAGUACCAUUCCAAAGACUUCAACUGGGAAACUCUGAGACAAGAAAUAGAAAACGACCCUUCUCUUAAUUACCAUCUUCUCCCUUUCCCUUCUCCACAACAAGAAGAACAACAUUCAAGAGAUUCAAUUAAAGCAUGGCAAAAUUUUCACAUUCAACACUCUUCUGGCAAGUUCUUCAAGGAAAGAAGGUACUUGUUGAAAGAAUUUCCGGAGCUGGUUUCUUGUGAAGAUGGUUGUAAGGUUUUGGAGGUUGGGUGCGGAAAUGGUAGUACUGCCCUUCCUAUAUUGCGUGGCAAUGAGAAAAUUAUUCUAUACGCAUGUGACUGUAGCAAUGAGACCCUGGAGAGGGCUAAAGAGUUUGUAGCUGCUAGUAAUGUAGUCUCAGUUGAGCAUCGUUUCCACCCAUUCUGUUGUGAUUUUGUGACAACUGGAUUCCCAAAGUGGUUGACAUGCGAUUAUUGCAGAGAAAUGUUUGCACUCAAGGGUCAAAAUUACCUUUCAGAUGUUAGAGAAAAAAGAACCCACGAAACUGAUAUAUGUUGUGUUGGUGGUGUGGACUUUAUUACCUUGAUAUUCACACUAUCAGCAGUGCCACUUCAAACAAUGCCAACAGCCAUCAGAGAGUGCUUUUCUGUCUUAAAACCUGGUGGCCUGCUCUUAUUUAGGGACUAUGGUCUCUAUGAUAUGACAAUGCUGCGUUUCGAACCAGAACAAAGAGUUGGGUUCAGGGAAUACAUGCGAUCAGAUGGCACUCGUUCUUACUUUUUCUCUCUGGAUGUUGUCAGAAAUCUCUUCAUUUGUGCUGGCUUCAUUGAGCUUGAGAUUGAAUAUUGUUGUGUCAAGUCAGUGAAUCGCCAAAAUGGGAAGAGCAUGAGAAGAGUAUGGGUUCACGCUUAUGGUGACAGAUUUUUGCUUAUCAGAAUAUCGACAGACUAACUUACCUAUACAAGUUUUGCAUUACUUUUGAUUCUUGGAACAAGCUGAAGGAAAUUGCCAAUGGACCUUGCUUAUCCCUGUGUAUGCCUGUUUUGGCUUUCAAUUUCAUCUGACCCUGCUAAUGGUGACAUUCAAUCAGAUCGUGGAGAACUCAAGAUGAAGUUAUUUGAACCUUCACAGUAUCAUGGAACUCAUACUACUUCUAACAGUUAAUUCAUAUGCCAAAUAUUACAAGUCCUCAGUCAAGCCAAAAUAAAUUUUAGGGCCUUGGACAUUUGUUAAUUGAAUUUUUAUAUCUGGAGUGUCAUAUCAAUAACUGCAACCUAGCAUAUGACAAGUCCUCUUGAACCUCUGUCAAUACAGAAGAGGUUUGUCAGUGCUAUAUUUAGUUGUUCAUUGAGCUUUUGGACAUUGGUUUUUCUCUUGUGUAUGCAUUUCUUCCAUUCAUAUGCGGUGUACUGCAUAGACACAUGCUAUCAUUCCGCUAUGCAGAUACGUGUCU